AUGGACGAUGAUGUUGUGUACAUGCUUUCUAAGACCUGCCCUGAGGACCAGAUGGAAGUGGUGAUUGCUGUUGAUAUGAGCAAGAAGACGCUUCAGGGAGUGGCUAAGCUUGUUACCGGAAAAGAUUUCACCGAUACACGUACCUGCACCAGUGAAAUCUCCAAAUAUCUUAGUAAAGAUGAAGGUAGAGCUUCAGCAAGGUGUUUCUCAGGCAGUGCAGGGACUUGUCCAAUUGGAUGUGCAUCUAUACCCUUGUGCCAAAUAACUUCAUUCGACAACCAGAAAACAAUAAGGUUGUAA
RNAcentral lists this ribosomal RNA (300 nucleotides) under Triticum aestivum (bread wheat). Its description in RNAcentral is "partial small subunit ribosomal RNA". The record is from RNAcentral. Lineage: Eukaryota; Viridiplantae; Streptophyta; Magnoliopsida; Poales; Poaceae.